UUGCCCGGGACCUCGGUGCCGGGACGCUGCGCAGCUGGCGACCGUCGCCACUGUCGUGCAGCCGGAACCUCUAGGAAAGUUGCAGGGCCCUCGCGGGGCCUGCGGACCGGCCCCUCCGCGACGGACCUGAACUUGACCCGACUUCGCGGCCGCAGGUGAUGCAAAUGGCACCUCGCUCAAGGAAACCAUGGGCGUGUCUCCUGCCGCCCGGCGCCGGAGGCCCGGGGUCACCGUUUCCCUGGCGGAGCUCGAGGAGCAAAUGUCCCGGGCGAUGGCGGUGUGGUGCGAAUUUGAAACGUAGUUGCAAGUAACGCUCCCAACACCGGAGGCUUGAAAUCCCAGAGCAGGGAAGCCUUUGAUACGCCCAGAGCCCGAGGUCGGCCCCACGCCCUGUUGUGACACAAGCAGAAGCACUGCGCCUGCAACACGCUCCUGCUCAGGCCAGGCGUGCUGCACCCAGAGGGAACAGUCAGGCACCCAGGACGCAGGACCCAGGACGGAGAGCGUAUUCCUGUCUUGAUCUGCUGCCCGUUUCUUGUUUGUGUAGAGGAGGUGAGGCAGGGACGACCACUGAGCAGCGAAACGCUUACCUUCCUGCAGUUGUAGAAAUCCCGGUGGGGGUUGUUCUUCAGCUCCUUUAACUCAUCCAUCUCGUUGAGCAUCUCAUGGACCUGGAACUUGGAGGAGAGGAACUUCAGGCGCCGACAUAGAGCCAAGAGGAAGGCAGCAGAAUGAUCUCUCCCCCGUGGAGCGAGGGGUGGAAGGUUGGGGGAGUGCUAUGAAGAGGAGGUUCCAGCAAAGCCUAGGUAGCAAAUAAGGAAAAUGGCAACCAGCUAUUUGGAGCGACAGUAGAAGACGAACAUUCUUCACACGAUGACAAAGCAAAGUGCAUGCAAAGAGGAAGAUCCCCCACUCCCGCCCCAUCAGCGUCUCUACAGGUCUCCAAAAUGCCCCAUUUCAAUUCUAUCUUAAGUAAGUGUAACGUGUUCAAGUCUCUCUUCUGCACGUACCAACUCCUUCACCUUCCUCUGUUUCCGUUUCCUUCUCUGUACCGUGGGGAUACUAAUGCCUACCAAACCUCGCUCACCAGGCUAUCGUGACACAAGGUGAGAUAAUGUACGUGGAAAUGCUUUAAGGGAAAUAAAACACCAGAAUAGCUGAUUGGUGUCAUUUGUAGCCUUGGUCAGACAGAUAUUUGGCAUUCUGAGUUAGCUUUGGGCUAUUAAAGGAAUGAUAAGUGACAUGACUUAGUACAGGCUGAAGCACACAUUAGAAAUGACAGUCAUUGAUUCAUAACUUCAACACCACGAACAGUCAGCCACUGUUCAAAACCUGGCCUGUCACAGCUGAGUAACAGAGAAGCCCUCUAUGUUGGCUGAACUUCACACAUCCAUUUGCUCCAUUAAACUCAAGCACUUUCUGAAACUGCAAAGCAUCUUAAAGUGCUCUGAGUAGUUCUUUGGCAAGCACCACAAUCCACGAAGGAACAAACAAAACAUUAAAUAGGUACAUUUGAUGGUUUGAGAAUGCCUCCCCCACCCCACUGCCCACUGAAGGCGUAUCAUUUCUCCCUGAGCAUCACCAACAAGCACAUGCACCUCAAGAAUGAAUGGCAAGCAGAUGUUAGAAGCUCCAUGCAUCACGAAGGGCCAAUGGUAGCAGGCCAGUGGGUUAUGAUGAUGAAGAAGAGGAUGAGGAUGAGGGUGCUGGGUCUGUGGCGAUGCUGUUGGAGGCCUCAGCAAGGACGGGAUGAAAUGGAUGCCCAGGAGCCAAGUCCUAGGUGCUUGAGAUCUGGCUCUUCCAGAUAAGCAUUCAUUCUCUGGGACUGCACACAUCUAUCUGUUUCAUAUUUUAAAAUAUGAUUGUUUUUACUAAGAUUGUAUCUUCCUAAGCCACUAGAGACAGUUGAAAAGCAGAAAUUCUACUCUCAAGAAGUAGUUUAUGCAUAACCCCUGGACACAGACAAUAUGCGUCAACGGGGGAAAAGAAGGAGGCAUCUGUAAUACUUUUCAACAAUAAAGAUGAAAUUUUUAAAAACCAACAGCAAAACUUUAGUAUCUAAGUGAAAUAUGCAUGGUUAAGUUAUUUCAUAAAAUCAAUAAAAUUGAAUCAACUAAAAAAAAGUCUUUUACAAAAAUCAUAUGGUUGAUAUUUCCUUCCACUGAAUCAACCAGUUGUUUUGAUUUCAUGUAACCACAGCUGAAAUUUGACUCGUAAUUCAAGAGCUCUGCCUUUCAAAAAUACUUCAGGGAGUGGUGGUUGCUGAAAGGAAAGCGUGAGGCUGGUGUUUGAGAAGAGGAGCAGAUAAGAUUUGGUGACAACCUGGAUUCAUGGCCUGAAGGACAGAUAUGCCCAUGGAUUUGUGCAGAUCAUCGCUGGGCUCUUUUCUGAGCAUGUCGUGUGGGAGGGGAUGGAGCAUCUGAGUCGAACUGCCUUGAGGUUAGGACAUCUAUGUUCAGAGAGAGAACAGACAAGAGAACAGAAACAAGGAGUAGAGGGCGAAGCGGAAAGAACAGUGGCCUAAGGAGUGAGAAAAAGUGUCCGUGACCAUGGGUGGCCUGGGGCAAACCACACAAUCGGUGGUGUCUCAGUGUUCAUCAUCAUAAAAGGCAAGCAUUAAUAAUAAUAAUGUCAACUUCAGAGAAUUGUCAUAAAGAUUA
This is a long non-coding RNA of Myotis lucifugus (little brown bat), 2660 nucleotides long. RefSeq lists it as uncharacterized. The transcript is spliced from 5 exons. Lineage: Eukaryota; Metazoa; Chordata; Mammalia; Chiroptera; Vespertilionidae. The record is from RefSeq and is a predicted model, not a curated record.